This 483-nucleotide ribosomal RNA is filed under the name uncultured bacterium. RNAcentral describes it as "partial 16S ribosomal RNA". It matches the Rfam family "Bacterial small subunit ribosomal RNA", at positions 28 to 507 of the family's 1533-position model. The record is from RNAcentral.
GACGAACGCUGGCGGCGUGCUUAACACAUGCAAGUCGAACGCUGAAGCUCAGCUUUUGUUGGGUGGAUGAGUGGCGAACGGGUGAGUAACACGUGAGUAACCUGCCCCCUUCUUUGGGAUAACGCCCGGAAACGGGUGCUAAUACUGGAUAUUCACUGGUCUUCGCAUGGGGGUUGGUGGAAAGGGUUUUUCUGGUGGGGGAUGGGCUCGCGGCCUAUCAGCUUGUUGGUGGGGUGAUGGCCUACCAAGGCUUUGACGGGUAGCCGGCCUGAGAGGGUGACCGGGCACAUUGGGACUGAGAUACGGCCCAGACUCCUACGGGAGGCAGCAGUGGGGAAUAAUGCACAAUGGGCGCAAGCCUGAUGCAGCGACGCCGCGUGAGGGAUGGAGGCCUUCGGGUUGUGAACCUCUUUCGCUCAUGGUCAAGCCGCAACAAUGGUUGUGGUGAGGGUAGUGGGUAAAGAAGCGCCGGCUAACUACGUG